RNAcentral lists this unclassified non-coding RNA (708 nucleotides) under Hevea brasiliensis (rubber tree). The record is from RNAcentral. Lineage: Eukaryota; Viridiplantae; Streptophyta; Magnoliopsida; Malpighiales; Euphorbiaceae.
CUCUUAAAUUGUAUUGUAGAUCCAUCUCAAGCUCUAGUCUCCUUUCAAGCCGCUGCCAAGAGAGUUCCAAUGAUAGAGUGAUGUUAAAGGGGAAUCUUCUGGGAUAGGUAAAGAAAGUUUUUCUUUUCUGCACUUGGAAAUUUUAGUUCUGUUUAGUGCAAAAAUGUUGAAUGUAUAACUUCAACAUGCUGUGAUGGCUAAGGAUAAUUUAUCACAAUCCAUCAAUUGUGGAGUUGGUGGUGCAAGCCACUCACCUACUAAGAGUGAAGACUCGGGGGCUCAUUCACGUUACAGUCUAGACAAAGAGACAGGUUCAGCAACUUGUCGUGUGUGCCAAUGUACUGAAUCUGAUAAAAGGGGAGAUGCUGUAUUGGGAUUUUUGGGCAUCAUUAGCCCAUUGCAAGAGUCUUGUAAAAGUAGUGGAGCAAUAAAGCUUCAAAGCGAAGAAGUGUCAAUACACUGUGAAACCAAUGAUUUCCAUAGCAAAAAUGCGGGAAGAGAAUUUGGAUUAAUUCAGUUUGUUAGCCCUGAGGGGGAGGUUUUCAUUUGUAGUACAGAUUUGGAAAUGGGUUCAUGUCAUCAACAAGACUCUUUAAUUGAACUUGGUUGCUCUUGCAAAAAUGAACUUGCUCUAGUACACUAUGCUUGUGCACUCAAAUGGUUUGUUAAUCAUGGAUCUACUGUUUGUGAAAUAUGUGGAUGUGUUGC